AGUAGAAGGUAAUCGAGCCACUUAGGUGGUUAGGAAAGUCCAUGCUAGCACAACCUGUGAUGGUUGUAGUGUUUGUGCCUAAGGAAACAAUAACUUAGGGUACAUCUUCGGAUGUAACGGCGGCAAUCUUGCUAAGACUUAGGUUAUGCAGGAACCAUAAAGUGCCACAGAAACGAAUCACUUGGAAACAAGUGAAUGAAACGCGGUAAACCCCUCAAGCUAGUAACCCAAAUUUUGGUAGGGGCACUUUGAAAGCAGAACAGAAUGCAUUUCAGAGCUAGAAAUAGAGAUAAAUGAUUACACUCGAAAGAGAACAGAACAUGGCUUAUGCAU
This 333-nucleotide RNase P RNA is filed under the name Acholeplasma brassicae. RNAcentral's name for it is "Bacterial RNase P class B". It matches the Rfam family "Bacterial RNase P class B". Rfam says of the family: Ribonuclease P (RNase P) is a ubiquitous endoribonuclease, found in archaea, bacteria and eukarya as well as chloroplasts and mitochondria. Its best characterised activity is the generation of mature 5'-ends of tRNAs by cleaving the 5'-leader elements of precursor-tRNAs. Cellular RNase Ps are ribonucleoproteins. The record is from Rfam by way of RNAcentral. Lineage: Bacteria; Bacillati; Mycoplasmatota; Mollicutes; Acholeplasmatales; Acholeplasmataceae.